AGCUCCAAUAGCGUAUAUUAAAGUUGCUGCAGUUAAAAAGCUCGUAGUUGCAUUUCCGAGGCAAGGGAUUAGUCCGACCUUUGGUGGGUAUUUAAUCCUCUUGCCUCGUCCUUGAGUGGUGCUUCUUGGUAUUAAGUUAUCGAGGAGAUAGCCGCUCAUCGUUUACUGUGAGAAAAUUAGAGUGUUCAAAGCAGGCUUAUGCCGUUGAAUAUAUUAGCAUGGAAUAAUAAGAGAGGACCUCGGGACUAUUUUGUUGGUUUGAGAACCAAGGUAAUGAUGAAUAGGGACAGUUGGGGGUAUUCGUAUUCAGUUGUCAGAGGUGAAAUUCUUAGAUUUACGGAAGACGAACUACUGCGAAAGCAUUUACCAAGGAUGUUUUCA
RNAcentral lists this ribosomal RNA (381 nucleotides) under uncultured marine Chaetocerotaceae. RNAcentral describes it as "SSU rRNA". It matches the Rfam family "Eukaryotic small subunit ribosomal RNA", at positions 587 to 972 of the family's 1831-position model. Lineage: Eukaryota; Bacillariophyta; Thalassiosirophyceae; Chaetocerotales; Chaetocerotaceae. The record is from RNAcentral.